This is a long non-coding RNA of Meleagris gallopavo (turkey), 3829 nucleotides long. RefSeq lists it as uncharacterized. NCBI's taxonomy places the organism in Eukaryota, Metazoa, Chordata, Aves, Galliformes, Phasianidae. The record is from RefSeq and is a predicted model, not a curated record.
UUUCGUCCUAGGAUGGAGGAAAUACCAAAACUGAGAAACAGAAAUUCAUCACUAUAAACCGCAAUUAGUUUGCUAAACUCAUUCUGAUUGACAUCCAGCUGGCUGGGUGACAAACACGUGGUACUCCUGACUUCCAGACUCUUGUUUGCAAAUGACUUUAGGUGAGUGCACCCAACUGAUGCUCAUUUUUCUUUGCUGCAUGAUAGCUUUUUGUUUUGCCUGGAUGGAGCACUGGAUUAGUGCAUAGCACAGCCCCUGCUCUUACUGCAGCCUGAAGAGCAGUUUGAGCUCUUACAUCUGCUCCUCCAGCUGAUAAUUCUGGCUAAUGCUUUCUUUUUCUGGCCCCAGAAGCUGCGACUUUGGAACAUGAGAGAAGGAGUUGAAAUGAACCCAAAGCUCUCCUGACUUUAACCCCACCAUGUCUGCGUGCCCAGAGAGCUGUGAGCACGGCUGCAUGGUGCUGCAGAGCUGCCUGUCCCUGGGAGCAGCCAGGGAGGUGCUGGGGUAUGAAUGGAGCAUGGAGGGGCAAUGGCUGCACUGUCUGGUAUGGAGACAUCAGUGAAACAUGCAGGGGAGGAGAGAGGAGGAGGAGGCACUGCUGUGAGAAGCGGGAGCAGAGAGAAGUGUAACAGGAGGAGAAGGAAAAGUUGCCAGAGAGGGAACGUGGAUCUUUCUGAGCUGCUGAGGAACUUCAGGAGAUGCAAAAGGAGCCAGAAAAUGUGUGGAGAGGGAUUUGGUCUCCUGUUAAGACAGACCUCUUUCGCAGCACUCAUCAGUGAGUGAUUUGCUCUCAGGGCAGAAAGCACGGCUCAGAUGCGAUGCAAUAACGCAGCUCUGCCUUCACACAGCCCUGAGAUCCCUUGGCUGACAGCAAAAGCAGAAAAAGACGUUUCUAAAAGUGGUUUGAUGCGAGCAGAGCACUCAUGCAGGCAGCAAGAAGGACAAGCAGAAGAUACAAGUGUGGAAUCAUCAAAGUUAGACAAGACCUCUCAGAUCCCCAAGUCCAACCCCAGCCCACCCCCACCGUGCCCACUGACCGUGUCCCUCAGAGCCACAGCUCCACGUUCUGAGCACCUCCCCCACCCCCUGGGCAUCCCUGUGCCACUGCCUCACUGCUCUGUUGGAGAAGAAAUGUUUCCUGAUUUUUCCACGCAAAGAGAUGCAUAGCAAGGAGAGCCAGGUUUUGCCAGUCCCUGGAGUGCUGUGACAGACAUUGCUCUGGAAGAAAAGAGAAAACAUUGGCUGGAUGACCAUUUUUUGUGGCCUACUGUUACCCCUUGUGAGAGACAAAGCAGGGUCCCUGGGCUGGGGGGGACCUGCGCAGCACCAGGAGCAGGCAAGAGGUGCAAGCAAAGAGGGAUGCAGGGGAUGGAAGAUGACAGAGGAAGCGGCUGCUUCUCAGAUCCUUGUCAAAGUCGAUGAUAUUGGCUGCUCUCCAUAGUGAGACCACUGUCAGACUCAGCUCAAAGCAGAAAACUCCUUGGUCUUACCGGAAAUGUGGGCAGCAGAAGAGUUAAGAAAUAAACCAAACCUGGCACCACCUGAAGUGACCUUGCAGAGGAGCAGUAGCAAGAUGGAUCCUUUGGCUUUCCACAUUUCCUCCUGCAGCUUUAACAUCUCUUCUUGUUUCUAAAAUCCUUCUGCUUCUUCUAGUGGGAGUCCGGAAAUCCGCGAUUAUAAUUCUUACAGCUCAAACAAUUCAGAUCCUUUGUCUCUGGUUCUUUGUUCUCUGUUUUCUGAUUUUUAUCAUCGAAGUAGCGUGCUGGGUUUCAGUUCCCACACUGUAAAUCAAGCUCUGCAGAAGCAGUCUAGCUCUGCAUCCCCACCUCCAGCGAGAGCUCCCUGAGCCCAGGCUCUGCCGAGGUCACUUUUUGCACAUAGGCACCUUGAGGAUGGGCACGCAGGGCCUUUACCAGUGCUGUGUCAAGGUGUUCCAGUGUGGUGGAGAUGUGGCACCUGGGGGCAUGGUCAGUGGGCACGAUGGGAAUGGGUUGGGCCUGAGGAUCUCGGAGGUCUUUUGCAACUGGAGUGGUUCUGUGACUCUCUGUUUCCAGAAGAGCAAAAUGAAGACAGAUUUUCCUCCGGCUGCAAGAGAAUAGUGAAAGAGGACUCUUCUGUAUAUGGGCUGAGCUUUCGCGUGGUUGCGUGAUAAUGUGCUGCAAUCAGAGCUCUUCUGCUGUAAAGCUGCCUUACCUCCAGGCAUCCUUUAAGCAGCCAGCAGUAUUCGUCUGUGCUUGAUUCAGGAGUUCUGGCCUGGCAUCAGUGAGUGACAUCAGUCCCACCCAACUUGUUGCACCAUCUGUUUUUGUGUUUUAACAGGCUUCGGGACGAAUGUUGGAAGGUGAGCUUCAGGUGUCAUCUGUAAUAAUGUUACAGUCACACAGUAAUGGUUGGUGGAAAGGUUUUGUUUUUUUAAAUAGGACUGUAUGGUUUCUGCAAACAUUGUGCUUGCUUCACUCGUAUUUCAUAGUUCUAUGCAGAAAACUAGAACGAAUCAUAAAAUAUGGGGGAAAAAUAACAGCUCUCCAUCCUUGACUCAAUCGUAGCCAUCUUGCAUCAUUAUAGUUGUGCAUGAAAGCUGUUGUUCGAAUGCUUCAUGACCUCUCCAUGGAUCAAGCUUCCCAGCACUUCCCAGCUGUUACAUCUCCAGGAUGCAGUCACCCCCUCGGUGCUGAGUCACCCAGCUUUACUGCGGGAGUCACCUCCCUGUGUCAGAAUGCUUCGAAAGUGUUUGGCUCUCCUGCAGCUGCUAUAUCUGUCAGGAUGACUAACGAAGCAGACAAGUGACUUGUGGGACAGGUCAGUGCUUUGUAAAUUUUCUCUUGUUUUGUGCCUACAAGCUCCUGCUGAAGUUUAUAAUUCAUCAAUCCCAACGCAUUAGCCACCUUCACACUAGCAGUGACAACGUCUGGUUUUGUUCUGGUUUAUCUCAGCCCGAGACAGGAAUCCCCUUGCUGUGCUCUCGGGACCUAUGAAGUCACCCUCAGCUCCCAGCCACCCUUCUGAUCCUUUAUGUGUCACUUACAGUGCAUCUGUUACCAUCUUCACAAAGGGCUGCUGAUUUCUUGAACUUACAAUCUCAGAACCAUUCUGGUUGGAAAAGAUCUCUUGGAUCCACAUCCCCCAGUGCCACAUCCCCCUGUUUGGGAGCACCUGCAGGACAGUGACUGCCCCUCCCUGGCAUUCUGCCCAUUCUGACUGCUCUCUGGAAAGUUCUGAUAUCCAACCUGGAUCCCCCUGCACAAAAAACGUAAUUUUGCUCAGUUAAUAAUUGACAUGUUUUAUUUCAUUGUGCUUUAUGGCUUCCCAAAGAUAUACAUAUGUCAAGUAGCUCUGACUUAAUACUUACUAAUGACCAGAAUGGGCAGCUAUUAAUGGCUGGGCUGACAGGGACUGGGCUGGGCAGCUACUGGUGCUACUUCAUGCCUCGAAAGCCAGAUGUGAUUUCACACAUAUGCAGAAACCCAUUACAUUUUAUUUGGGAACGAAUGAACGCUUCUAUACAAUAGCAAAUGUACCAUUUUCCUCUUACACUUUUAAGGGGUUACUUAUGGAAAGGCUCGCCUCUUGAGGGAAGGUAAGCCUCCAGAGUGGAAUGCAAUGGAUAAUCCGUUCCGUGAGAGUCCCCUGAGCAAGAUGGCCUGCAACCUUAGCUGUCAGCAAAUGCCUGGGAGCCUGGAAUGCUGACUCUAAAGAAAAUACACACAGGAUGAGGAAUGGGGUGGAGGUCCCAUGGCCAAACCCUGUGACCAUUCUGCAGGGACAGGGACUGAUGCUGUUAUUGGCAAUGAUAAAUCAUUUUGUUUUCCUGAGCCAGCAAUUUUCCACC